AACGAACGCUGGCGGCGCGCCUAAUACAUGCAAGUCGAACGAGAAGGUCGUAGCAAUACACUUGUAAAGUGGCGAACGGGUGAGGAAUACAUGGGUGACCUACCCUCGAGUGGGGGAAUAACCCGAGCCGAAAGGUUGGCUAAUACCGCGUACGCGUUCCCAGGUCUACGGGUUGGGAAGGAAAGCGAUGCCGUGGGUAUCGCGCUCAAGGUUGGGCUCAUGUCCUAUCAGCUUGUUGGNGAGGUAACGGCUCACCAAGGCAACGACGGGUAGCUGGUCUGAGAGGACGAUCAGCCACACUGGCACUGCGACACGGGCCAGACUCCUACGGGAGGCAGCAGUGGGGAAUAUUGCGCAAUGGGCGAAAGCCUGACGCAGCGACG
Molecule: ribosomal RNA, 383 nt
Filed under: uncultured bacterium
Lineage: Bacteria
Description: bacterial SSU rRNA
Rfam family: Bacterial small subunit ribosomal RNA
Source: RNAcentral